This 1771-nucleotide ribosomal RNA is filed under the name Listeria monocytogenes. RNAcentral describes it as "partial 23S ribosomal RNA". It matches the Rfam family "Bacterial large subunit ribosomal RNA", at positions 1 to 1763 of the family's 2925-position model. Lineage: Bacteria; Bacillati; Bacillota; Bacilli; Caryophanales; Listeriaceae. The record is from RNAcentral.
UUGGUUAAGUUAGAAAGGGCGCACGGUGGAUGCCUUGGCACUAGGAGCCGAAGAAGGACGGGACUAACACCGAUAUGCUUUGGGGAGCUGUACGUAAGCGUUGAUCCAGAGAUUUCCGAAUGGGGGAACCCACUAUCUUUAGUCGGAUAGUAUCCUUACGUGAAUACAUAGCGUAAGGAAGGCAGACCCAGGGAACUGAAACAUCUAAGUACCUGGAGGAAGAGAAAGAAAAAUCGAUUUCCUGAGUAGCGGCGAGCGAAACGGAAAGAGCCCAAACCAAGAAGCUUGCUUCUUGGGGUUGUAGGACACUCUAUACGGAGUUACAAAAGAAAGUUAUAAAUGAAGCGGUCUGGAAAGGCCCGCCAAAGACGGUAACAGCCCGGUAGUUGAAAUGGCUUUCCCUCCAGAGUGGAUCCUGAGUACGGCGGAACACGUGAAAUUCCGUCGGAAUCCGGGAGGACCAUCUCCCAAGGCUAAAUACUCCCUAGUGACCGAUAGUGAACCAGUACCGUGAGGGAAAGGUGAAAAGCACCCCGGAAGGGGAGUGAAACAGUUCCUGAAACCGUGUGCCUACAAGUAGUUAGAGCCCGUUAAUGGGUGAUAGCGUGCCUUUUGUAGAAUGAACCGGCGAGUUACGAUUUGUUGCAAGGUUAAGCGGAAAAAGCGGAGCCGUAGCGAAAGCGAGUCUGAAUAGGGCGCAUAAGUAACAGGUCGUAGACCCGAAACCAGGUGAUCUACCCAUGUCCAGGAUGAAGGUAAGGUAAUACUUACUGGAGGUCCGAACCCACGCACGUUGAAAAGUGCGGGGAUGAGGUGUGGGUAGCGGAGAAAUUCCAAUCGAACUUGGAGAUAGCUGGUUCUCUCCGAAAUAGCUUUAGGGCUAGCCUCGAGGUAAAGAGUCAUGGAGGUAGAGCACUGUUUGGACUAGGGGCCCUUCUCGGGUUACCGAAUUCAGAUAAACUCCGAAUGCCAUGUACUUAUACUCGGGAGUCAGACUGCGAGUGAUAAGAUCCGUAGUCGAAAGGGAAACAGCCCAGACCACCAGUUAAGGUCCCCAAAUAUAUGUUAAGUGGAAAAGGAUGUGGGGUUGCUUAGACAACCAGGAUGUUGGCUUAGAAGCAGCCACCAUUGAAAGAGUGCGUAAUAGCUCACUGGUCGAGUGACCCCGCGCCGAAAAUGUACCGGGGCUAAACAUAUUACCGAAACUGUGGAUGAACCUCUUCGGAGGUUCGUGGUAGGAGAGCGUUCUAAGGGCGGUGAAGUCAGACCGGAAGGACUGGUGGAGCGCUUAGAAGUGAGAAUGCCGGUAUGAGUAGCGAAAGAAGGGUGAGAAUCCCUUCCACCGAAUAUCUAAGGUUUCCUGAGGAAGGCUCGUCCGCUCAGGGUUAGUCGGGACCUAAGCCGAGGCCGAUAGGCGUAGGCGAUGGACAACAGGUAGAGAUUCCUGUACCAGUGCUAAUUGUUUAACCGAUGGGGUGACACAGAAGGAUAGGGAAUCGCACGAAUGGAAAUGUGCGUCCAAGCAGUGAGUGUGAGAAGUAGGCAAAUCCGCUUCUCGCGAAGCAUGAGCUGUGAUGGGGAAGGAAAUUAAGUACGGAAGUUCCUGAUUUCACGCUGUCAAGAAAAGCCUCUAGGAAGAGUAGUACUGCCCGUACCGCAAACCGACACAGGUAGAUGAGGAGAGAAUCCUAAGGUGAGCGAGAGAACUCUCGUUAAGGAACUCGGCAAAAUGACCCCGUAACUUCGGGAGAAGGGGUGCUCUAUUAGGGUG